CAAUGGUGAGAAGGUAUACGGCUGGCAAUAUAGCUGCUCUCCAACUUUUAAAUGUAGAAGUCACAUCACUUUUUUAUGUAGAACUUUUUUAUGUAGACAGCUGCAAAUCAGAAUCCAUUACUGAUCCAUUAGUAGACGGAUGCCUUAAUAACCCGUUAUAGGAGAAAAAGAGAUGCCUUAGUAACCCGUUAUAGGAGAAAAAGAGAUGCCUUAGUAACCCGUUAUAGGAGAAAAAGAGAUGCCUUAG
RNAcentral lists this unclassified non-coding RNA (247 nucleotides) under Hevea brasiliensis (rubber tree). The record is from RNAcentral. Lineage: Eukaryota; Viridiplantae; Streptophyta; Magnoliopsida; Malpighiales; Euphorbiaceae.